GGGCUCACAAUCAGUCCAAUUGAUUCUUACUGGCUCACCAACUAUAAAAUCUUACACCAUCUGAUUUAUGGCUCGGAUCAACCCUUGAAAACCUAAGUUUCUUCUUUAAGAAACUUGUCUCAAUAGUUUAAAAAAGAAUAUACAAGAAUUUAAAAUAUAAAUAAUAAACUCUUCAAACAGUUGAAGAAGUCGAUGUGGUUGAGCUCUUGAAUUGCUUGAACUUCUUUUUUGAAUGCUUAAGGAAGAUUUGAUGAAG
RNAcentral lists this long non-coding RNA (256 nucleotides) under Elaeis guineensis (African oil palm). Its description in RNAcentral is "long non-coding RNA (EGUI_LNC042225)". Lineage: Eukaryota; Viridiplantae; Streptophyta; Magnoliopsida; Arecales; Arecaceae. The record is from RNAcentral.